Molecule: ribosomal RNA, 444 nt
Filed under: uncultured bacterium
Lineage: Bacteria
Description: bacterial SSU rRNA
Rfam family: Bacterial small subunit ribosomal RNA
Source: RNAcentral
UGGGGAAUAUUGGACAAUGGGCGCAAGCCUGAUCCAGCCAUGCCGCGUGAGUGACGAAGGCCUUAGGGUUGUAAAGCUCUUUUGGCGGGGACGAUAAUGACGGUACCCGCAGAAUAAGCCCCGGCUAACUUCGUGCCAGCAGCCGCGGUAAUACGAAGGGGGCUAGCGUUGUUCGGAAUUACUGGGCGUAAAGCGCACGUAGGCGGAUGUGCCAGUCAGGGGUGAAAUCCCGAGGCUCAACCUCGGAACUGCCUCCGAUACAGCACGUCUCGAGUCCGGAAGAGGUGAGUGGAAUUCCUAGUGUAGAGGUGAAAUUCGUAGAUAUUAGGAAGAACACCAGUGGCGAAGGCGGCUCACUGGUCCGGUACUGACGCUGAGGUGCGAAAGCGUGGGGAGCAAACAGGAUUAGAUACCCGAGUAGUCCCUGAGCGGGCUGGCAAGGCG